Molecule: ribosomal RNA, 398 nt
Filed under: uncultured bacterium
Lineage: Bacteria
Description: partial 16S ribosomal RNA
Rfam family: Bacterial small subunit ribosomal RNA
Source: RNAcentral
AUACAUAGGGUGCGAGCGUUGUCCGGAAUUACUGGGCGUAAAGAGCUCGUAGGUGGUUUGUCGCGUCGUCUGUGAAAUUCCGGGGCUUAACUCCGGGCGUGCAGGCGAUACGGGCAUAACUUGAGUACUGUAGGGGAGACUGGAAUUCCUGGUGUAGCGGUGAAAUGCGCAGAUAUCAGGAGGAACACCGGUGGCGAAGGCGGGUCUCUGGGCAGUAACUGACGCUGAGGAGCGAAAGCAUGGGUAGCGAACAGGAUUAGAUACCCUGGUAGUCCAUGCCGUAAACGGUGGGCGCUAGGUGUAGGGGUCUUCCACGACUUCUGUGCCGUAGCUAACGCAUUAAGCGCCCCGCCUGGGGAGUACGGCCGCAAGGCUAAAACUCAAAUGAAUCGGCGGGG